RNAcentral lists this ribosomal RNA (449 nucleotides) under uncultured bacterium. Its description in RNAcentral is "bacterial SSU rRNA". It matches the Rfam family "Bacterial small subunit ribosomal RNA", at positions 354 to 796 of the family's 1533-position model. The record is from RNAcentral.
GUGGGGAAUCUUGCGCAAUGGGGGAAACCCUGACGCAGCGACGCCGCGUGAGUGAUGAAGGCCUUCGGGUUGUAAAGCUCUGUGGAGAGGGACGAAUAAGUCGGAGCGAAUAUCUCCGAUGAUGACGGUACCUUUUUAGCAAGCACCGGCUAACUCUGUGCCAGCAGCCGCGGUAAGACAGAGGGUGCAAACGUUGUUCGGAAUUACUGGGCGUAAAGCGCGUGUAGGCUGCUUGGAAAGUCGGAUGUGAAAGCCCUGGGCUCAACCUAGGAAGUGCAUUCGAAACUUCCAAGCUGGAGUUUCGGAGAGGAAGGCGGAAUUCUCGGUGUAGAGGUGAAAUUCGUAGAUAUCGAGAGGAACACCGGUGGCGAAGGCGGCCUUCUGGACGAUGACUGACGCUGAGACGCGAAAGCGUGGGGAGCAAACAGGAUUAGAAACCCUGGUAGUCC